Molecule: ribosomal RNA, 255 nt
Filed under: uncultured bacterium
Lineage: Bacteria
Description: partial 16S ribosomal RNA
Rfam family: Bacterial small subunit ribosomal RNA
Source: RNAcentral
CGGACGGGUGAGUAACGCGUGGAAAACCUGCCGUAUACUGGGGGAUAACACUUAGAAAUAGGUGCUAAUACCGCAUAAGCGCACAGCUUCGCAUGAAGCGGUGUGAAAAGCUCUGGUGGUAUACGAUGGUUCCGCGUCUGAUUAGCUAGUUGGUGGGGUAAUGGCCUACCAAGGCAACGAUCAGUAGCCGGCCUGAGAGGGUGAACGGCCACAUUGGGACUGAGACACGGCCCAAACUCCUACGGGAGGCAGCAG